AUUGAACGCUGGCGGCAUGCCUUACACAUGCAAGUCGAACGGCAGCACGGGAGCAAUCCUGGUGGCGAGUGGCGAACGGGUGAGUAAAGUAUCGGAACGUGCCCAGUCGUGGGGGAUAACGUAGCGAAAGUUACGCUAAUACCGCAUACGAUCUAUGGAUGAAAGCGGGGGAUCGCAAGACCUCGCGCGAUUGGAGCGGCCGAUAUCAGAUUAGGUAGUUGGUGGGGUAAAGGCUCACCAAGCCGACGAUCUGUAGCUGGUCUGAGGGGACGACCGGCCACACGGGCACUGGGACACGGCCCAGACUCCUACGGGGGGCAGCGGUGGGGAAUUUUGGACAAUGGGCGAAAGCUUGAUCCAGCCGUGCCGCGUGAGGGAUGAAGGCCUUCGGGUUGUAAACUGCUUUUUUACGGAACGAAAAGGUUUGGCCUAAUAAGCUGAGCUCAUGACGAUACCGUAAGAAUAAGCACCGGCUAACUUCGUGCCAGCCGCCGCGGAAA
This 500-nucleotide ribosomal RNA is filed under the name uncultured bacterium. RNAcentral describes it as "partial 16S ribosomal RNA". It matches the Rfam family "Bacterial small subunit ribosomal RNA", at positions 30 to 523 of the family's 1533-position model. The record is from RNAcentral.